AUCCACUCCGGGUUUUCCCCUAUCAGCUCCCAUUCACUCCUAUUGCCUCCCAUUGACUCCCACUCCACUCCAACCCCCAAAUCCACUCCGGGUUUUCCCCCAUUCACUCCCAUUCACUCCCAUUGAUUCCUAAUUCUUCCCAUUGACUCCGAUUCCGUUCCCAGCCGCAAAUCCAGUCCUGGUUUUCCCCUAUCAGCUCCCAUUGAUUCCUAUUGACUCCCAUUCCACUCCCAGCCCCAAAUCCACUCCGGCUUUUCCCCCAUCCGCUCCCAUUCACUCCCAUCGACUCCCAUCGAGCUCCAGCUCCAAAUCCACUCCGCUUUUUCCCCCAUUCCCCCCCUCCCUUCCCCCACAGCCGUAUGGGGGAUGGGCUCCACGACCCCAAACCCCCCCCUCCCCCUUCAAGGAAACCCAUGCGAGCCGCGUGCGAAACCUCCCCCCAAAAAAACCCCCAAAAGGACCGAAAAAUGAACGGAAAGAAGCGAAAAAGAACGGAAAGAACCGGAAAAGAGCGGAAAGAAGCGAAAAAGAGCGGAAAGAACCGGAAAAGAACGGAAAGAAGCGAAAAAGAGCGGAAAGAACCGAAUAAGAACGGAAAGAACCGAAAGGGGAACCGUCGAAGUUUUUACCUGAAAUAAUAAACGUCGCUUUUGCCGGCGCUUAAACCGGAUUUACGGAUGACUUCUUCUUUUUUCCAACCGGGAGGAAGAGCCGGGCAAUCGAUCCGGCCUUGUUUUUCCAUCUUGGCGUUUCAACGCUUUGCAAAAGACGAAAGGAAAAAAGGGGCAACAAAAGCGGAAGAGGCCGUAAGGAAAUAGAAAGGAAGAAAAAAAGAAACGGGCGACGAUCCGCGAAGAGAAAAACGGGAAGGAGGGGAAGGGAAGGAAGGGGGGAAAGGGGACGAAACGCGGGGAGGCGGAGAGGCGAUGAGGGGUUCGGGUUCGGCUUGGAUUCGCUCGAGUUCGGGGAGCGUUCGGCUCGAGUUCGGAGGGGAUCGGCUCCAGUUCCGGGUUGUUCGGCUCGAGUUCGGAGGGACUCGGGAGGUGUUCGGGGCGACUUCCGGGCGAGUUCGGGGGUUUGGGGGUGACUUCCGGUCGAGUUCGGGGCCGCUCGGGCCGCACUCGGGUCGAGUUCCGGGCUGUUCCGGCAGCGUUCGGCUCCGAGUUCGGGCCGCACUCGGGUCGAGUUUCGAGCUGUUCGGGUCGAGUUCGGGGCGACUUCCGGGCGAGUUCGGAGCGGUUCGGGCAGCGUUCGGGUCGAGUUCCGCGCUGUUCGGAUCGACUUCGGAUCGCCUCCGGAAGCGUUCGGGUCGAGUUCGGAAGGAGUCGGGCAGCGUUCGGGUCGAGUUCGGCCGGGAGUUCGAGUCGAGUUCCGGGGUGUUCGCGGCGACUUCCGGUCGAGUUCGGGGCCGCUCGGCCUGCACUCGGGUCGACUUCGUGGGGACUCGGGCCGCGCUCGGGUCGAGUUCCGAGCUGUUCCGGCAGCGUUCGGCCCCGAGUUCCGGAAGGGUUCGGAGCGCACUCGGCUCGAGUUCGGGGGGGCUCAGGUCCAGUUCCGGGUUGUUCGGCUCGAGUUCGCAGGGACUCGGGAGGUGUUCGGGGCGACUUCCGGUCGAGUUCGGAGGCGUUCGGGUCGAGUUCGGGGCGACUUCCGGUCGAGUUUGGGGGCGUUCGGGUCGAGUUCGGAGGGACUCGGGUCGAGUUCGGGUGCAGUUCCGGGGUGUUCGUGACGCACUCGGGUUGAGUUCGGGGAGACUUCCGGUAGAGUUCGGGCAGAUUCGUGCUCCGUUCUGGUUGACUUCCGGGGCGUUCGGGUCCGACUUCCGGGGUGUUCGUGACGCACUGGGGUCGGGUUCGGGGGGGGCUCGGGCUCCACUCGGGUCGACUUCCGGGAACUCCGGAAGGACUCGGGGCAACUUCCGGUCGAGUUCGGGGGGACUCGGGCUGCGUUCAGCUCCGAGUUCCGGGCUGUUCGGCUUGAGUUCGGGUCGCCUUCGGGUCGAGUUCGGGGGCAAUCGGGGGGAGUUCGGGUCGAGUUCGGGAAGCGCUCGGGUUCGAAUCGGAGGCGUUCGGGUCUUUUCCGGUGACGCUCGGAGGUGUUCGGGGGGGGGUUGA
This 2114-nucleotide long non-coding RNA is filed under the name Phasianus colchicus (ring-necked pheasant). RNAcentral describes it as "lncRNA (ENSPCLG00000015315.1)". Lineage: Eukaryota; Metazoa; Chordata; Aves; Galliformes; Phasianidae. The record is from RNAcentral.